Molecule: ribosomal RNA, 460 nt
Filed under: uncultured bacterium
Lineage: Bacteria
Description: partial 16S ribosomal RNA
Rfam family: Bacterial small subunit ribosomal RNA
Source: RNAcentral
CCUACGGGAGGCUGCAGUGAGGAAUAUUGGUCAAUGGACGAGAGUCUGAACCAGCCAAGUAGCGUGAAGGAUGACCGCCCUAUGGGUUGUAAACUUCUUUUAUAUGGGAAUAAAAUGUUACACUUGUGGGAUUUUGUAUGUACCAUAUGAAUAAGGAUCGGCUAACUCCGUGCCAGCAGCCGCGGUAAUACGGAGGAUCCGAGCGUUGUCCGGAUUGAUUGGGUUUAAAGCGAGCGUAGGUGGAUUGUUAAGUCAGUUGUGAAAGUUUGCGGCUCAACCGGAAAAUUGCAGUUGAAACUGGCAGGCUUGAGUACAGUAGAGGGGGGUAGAAUUCGUGGUGUAGCGGUGAAAUGCGUAGAGAUCACGAAGAAUUCCGAUGGCGAAGGCAGCUCACUAGACUGCAACUGACACUGAUGCGCGAAAGUGUGGGUAUCAAACAGGAUUAGAUACCCGGGUAGUC